Molecule: non-coding RNA, 591 nt
Organism: Pelobates cultripes (western spadefoot toad)
Lineage: Eukaryota; Metazoa; Chordata; Amphibia; Anura; Pelobatidae
Source: the annotation of a GenBank genome assembly
CCACAAGGCAAACAAGGCAUUUGACUAGGACGGCACUUUAAGGGAGCCGCAAGAAAAUGCCACCCCAAGCUCCCAAACAAAUGCCUUAUUUGCCUCAUGUCCUGGGGCUGUCCUUCUUAGAGCCCCCCAGAGGUGUUAAAUUACUAAUAUUCCAGAUGGCAAGAAAGCGCUGUCCUCCACUCUUCUUGCUCUCUCGCGCUCUGUGAGUCUGCGAGUGAGUGUAGCUGUCAGUGUGUGUCUGUGAGUGAGUUAAAGUGUGUGUCUGUCAGAGUGAGUCAAAUCAGUGAGGAUGGAUAUGUCUGUGAGUGUGUGUCAGUGUGUGUCUGGCAUUUUAUGUGUAUCUAAGAGUGUGUGUCUGUCAGUGAGUGGGUGUGUCAGUGUGUUUGUCAGUGAAAGUGUGUGUUGAUUAAACAGUGUGUGUACCAAUGACUGUAUGUGUAUGCCAAUGACUGUGUAUCUGCAAUUGAGUGUAUGUGAGGGCCUGUGUCUGUCUGUCAAAAAAGUGGCCUUGACAGGAAUUUGGGGGUGCCCUAAUUUAGUUGUGCCUAGGGCAGCACAAAUCCAAAAUACACCACUGGAUAACAGGGAUGA